RNAcentral lists this long non-coding RNA (7417 nucleotides) under Ananas comosus (pineapple). Its description in RNAcentral is "long non-coding RNA (ACOM_LNC015008)". The record is from RNAcentral. Lineage: Eukaryota; Viridiplantae; Streptophyta; Magnoliopsida; Poales; Bromeliaceae.
GGUAAGCACAACCCACCUCAUUUCGCAUUCCGAUUGCUUGUCGACACUUGCAAUCGGCCUCCCGCGGCACCCGGCACCCGGUUUGGCCCGAUCUCUCACGCGACCACCCGAACGGCCUCCAAUUCACGAUCCGAAAAUUAAAGGUCUUCGGUUAUGUGCCACGAUGCUUCAAAUCCAUUUUCAUGAAUUUACGAUAUCGCCUCGGCCCUCCCGGCGGACCCGAAGCCUAAACGUCCAUUUCUUUAAUAACUUUGUAACGGCUCGUCGGAUUGCCGAACCGUCUUCGCCAACGCGUUCGUUUACCUAGCAAUUUGGUUUACGGAGGGUCAAAUGAGAUCAAACCCUCAUAUUUUAAAAAACCCCAUUUUCUAAGCCUAAUAUGAAUUAAUCUCCAAAUAAUCCAAAUUAAAUAGAGCAAACAUGUUUAGAAUGCUCAUUAGAGGCUAUUAGAACACUUAAAACUAAGGAUUAAGCCAAAUCCUAAAAGCUUACCUCAAUGUGAACGCCGCGACGACAACACACCGCUCCAACGGGCGCACGAAAGCUCAAUCCGUCGCCUCCAACGCGUUCGCAAGCAUAUUCUCCACCAACCCCGCGAAUUUGAGCGAGAGAUAUAGAGAAAUGAGAGAGAUCUCUAGAGAGAGAAAGGAGAGUUUCUCUCCUCUCUCCAUGUGUGCGUGAGGUGUGUGUGGGUGUGCACGGCUGAAGGAGGAAGAAGAAGCAUCAUGCUUCUAUUUAAUUACACCCCAACACUAUUCACCUCCAGGCAGCUUAAAAUCUGAUAACUUUCGCCGGAGCUCCCUGAAUGUCCGUUUGAGCUCAAACUUGACAGUCAUGUUCGGUUUUACUUAACUUAACAAGCUGACGAUCACUGGUUCAGUUUCGACCCCGUUUGGUCACUGAAAACUGUACCGAACUGCAAUCUUUAUCAGAUAGCUUUCGGAUUUUAUUUCUCACUCUAUGGGUGUCAGAAAAAUAUGAAACCUUAAAUCUAGCCUCAUAAAAAUAUUUCUGACAUCUCCGCCAAUUUUCAUAAUUUUCUGAGACUGUGCAUUUUCUGCUUAUUUUUCUGUCCCGUCUCCAACAGAAAAUUCUAGAUCUUCUGUUUUAAUUCCGAUUUCAGCACAAGUCACCUCUGACUUAUGUUUUACCUCUAUAAAUCUAAUAAAAAUAGUUUCUCACACUAUUUUUAUUUAUUAUUAUUUUUAUACCAAAAUCUGGUAUAUUACAUUCUCCACCCCUUAAAAAGAAUUUCGUCCGCGAAAUUCAAAACACACCUCAAUUCAGCUCCUCGAGCAAUUGAGGGCACCAAUGCACUUUUUCACUUCGGAAUGGCUUUACACUCCUUGGAACUAUCCAAGAGAACUAUCACGGAGGGUACAAUACCAAACUCAUACAACUUUGUAAGGUGCAUCCCACAAAGUGCAUUACGGUAUCCACCAUUCUUGGUGGAAGCGCAAGUCGAAAUUCAACGACUACACACGCUCCAACCCCACUUGUCAUUUGGCAUGCAAGAACUCUUCUUUGCAUGUACUCUCCCUUCAGGGAAUACAUUCCGAUUCUAUCUCCAACAGUGCUUAAAAGCAACAUCACUGAUGCAUCGCUUCCGCGCGAGUGCUCUAAUUCCGCACUGAUCUUUAGCUCUAACAUGAGAUGGCCCACCUCGGCGCCUCCCAAUUCCAAUCCUCAAAUUCCACGUGGCUUGCUACUAGCUCAAGGUCUCACAAGGAGCACUUCAUCUUCUAAUACCAUAUGCCACGGUCAACAUUGAACUAAUUUCGCAACGAGCUCACACGAACGCUUCAUUCGUGGAUUCGAGUUAGACUCCUCGAUAAGGCUAUCCGCCAAACCGCUCUCUUCGGUCUCCACAGGUGGACCAAAGGCCACCAAUCCUACGUAGGCCUACCGCCUAACCUUUCUCAAUACGCAGCGUCUCUCGCUCGCAAUGCAGACCCAAUCAUCAUUGGGGCGAAAUUCUCACUUGGGAAUUCGCACACACUCCAACCAGGAGCAACUAAGAUCCCAAACCGUUACAGAUUCCCGGGUUGGGUCACACUCGCACUCUCAGUAUACUAUCAAUCGCACUACAUGCUCUAUAGCACAAUACGUACCACUAUCGGCUCCUAUGCACCUAGUGCGAGCCACCAGCCCCACGAGUGAUCCGUGGCACGCUUCACACCUAGCAAUGCUCAGGUGCUACUGCCAACACACUCAUCCGGCUAAACUAAAUCCGCACUCCACGAGUAACUAUACUCGUGUAUCGCACGCCUCUAAAGCGCUCCACACUAUGUCCAGCAUUAGGCAACUCUUGCCUAUGCACACCGGCCACACGAGCAUGGCUCACCUACCUCGAUUCGAGGUACUACUAGGCAAAAGCGCCAGUAGUUGGCAACAAACCGUUCCAUCGGAGCAACAUCCGGAAUACUCGAACCAUUCGAGUGUCCACAAGUGUCACGUCACAACUCUCGCAAUCAGCUAUACAUUGCUCUGCGAGUUAGUCCGUCACUCCCAUCUCUACUGUGAAUCUCAUCAUUAGACCAUCACUAGCAACUCGCUAGUGCCAUCCAGUUCUCUACCUGCACCGGCAGGUGCAACGCUUUCACCACAUAAGCGUGCCCGGGUAUUUACAUUUAUCCGCUCACUUGGACCCUACUAUGCUACUACAUAAAUAGUAGUAAUUAAUUACAUGCUCAAUGCAUGCAAUGCACCAACUUUACAUUAUGCAGAAACACAUAACUGCAUUAAUGGCUCAUACCUGCCAUGACGUUGUCAGCAGCAGGUUCCAUAUCCCGGACAUAGUUCACGAUAGGGAGAAUUCCCGUUCGUACUCUCUAACUGAGCGGUCUCCUUGCCGCAGCUUCCUGAACUUGUCCUGAAGCUUUCUCUUUUCACUGUCGGGGGAAGUAAGUAGAAGAUACCAAUCCCCAAAACUCAUCCCAUGCCAUGGAGGAAUACUAGGCGAUCGGUUCCGCCGAAUGCCUUUCCACCACGCCUUAGCCGACUGUUUCAAACAAUACACGGCUAGGGGUACCCUGUCCCGCUCCAAGGUAGACAGCUCCUCGAAGAGCGUUUCCACGGAGUCAAUCCACGUAUCCACAAUCCACGAAUCGACAUUCUCUCCAUCGAAGAUAGGUGGAUCAAACUUUAUGAAGGUCAUGAGGGCUGCCAAAGCCCGCUCUUUCUCCUUCUUUUCCUUUCCUUUCUUCCUCCUCUUCUUGUCUUCUAGAGAGAGAAAGAGAGAUAUGAGAGGGUGUGUGGGUGAGAAAUGAGAGAAAAGAGCUCUCAUACUCCUCACAUAGCCCCACAUGUUGCAUAAGUGCAAACAAGCCUCUCAACUUUUACUCUUUUACACUGCCCUGACUGGGCCAUUUUCAGGUUCGGGGACCGGUCUCCCCGACGAGGGACCGGUCUCCGAGAGCUCUCCCCGCGGUCAGCAGGGCUCACGCACGAUGCAUCCGGUCUCCCCCGAUGGGACCGGUCUCUUCGGGACCGGUCUCUCCCUGCAGGGACCGGUUCCCGAGAGCUGUCCACCGGGGACUUAGCCGAUUUUUCCUCCCUUUCGCUGUCUGCGCGUGCGGGGACCGGUCUCUCCCACCAGGGACCGGUCCCCGAGAGCAGAAAACCUGCAGUUUGCAGAUUUUGAUUCCCAAAGCUCUCGAAGAUCCCCAGCAACGCACUUUUGCAUUAUUUGACGCCUUCGGCCUUUCCGAAGUGUACCAACCUCGCUCUUUGGUCAAUUUGACCAAGGUUCGAUGUUCGCUUACCGAAGUUUCGGUAUAUUACACCUACAAUUUUUUUUCGGAGUCUCUUAAUUCGCUCCUCCUGGUGUAUAGCAGCCUCCUGCUGCCGCUGCACCACAUCUGCUCGUUGCCUCACCACACCCACAAGUGUGGCCAACCGUUCGCGAAGUUCCAAAUCUCCGCUCGCCUUGGAUUGCUCUGGGACAUCACUUGUCCCACCCCGCGUCGAUCUAAACGAAGAUCGCCUACGCGGUGCCAUCGUUACCUAGAACAUAACAACUCAACUAACUCUCAACCUUCUAGGUCGAGUACGAGACAACUGACAUCAACUCAAAUCGGGCGAAAGUCAUACAAGGGCAUCUAUUCUCAUCACUCGGUUUCAUGUUGUACGCGUCCAACAUGAACACUCUCGGUUGAGAAUAGACAACACCUUGGAUCUACCUCUAAUCUCCUUUUUAGAGGUUUACAACACAACCCAAUCCCUUAACCUUUCGCCAAAAGUCACAAGUCCUCGUCUCUCACGAGCCUUAAUCUCCUAUGGUUUACUAUCCUAGGGUCUCCUAGGUUCAUCUAAACCACUUUCCCAUUCUCUACUUUAUGCUCUGAUACCAUCUUACCUGUCACGCCCCGAGCCCGCCUCUUUGGUCGGAUUCGGGCACGCCAACAGACCGCCGAACGGACAGGGUUUCCCCUGCACGCGGACAGAGUCUCCCCUGUACGUUCAAGGCGUCGCAAUCAAUACAAUUACAAGAGGUUCCAAACAGGAACAAUUUUCAACAACGAUUGCAUAAGGAAGGUAUCAAACAACAUAACACAUCCUAUGUUAUUACAAUCAUUCAUCUCAUCAUUUUACAUCGCAUUUUUCAUUACAUUGAUUCUCAACUUCCAAAUAUACAAUCGAUUUCUAAACAUAAUAUUACAACAUCGAUUCUUUUCUUUUCUUUUCUUAUACCCCUAAGAAGCCGACUCAGGGUGCUGCUAUCUGGUCUCUGUGGUAGGGCGCUAACUACGGAGCUACGCCCUUUCCUCGCGCCGCCGCGCCGCUCGCGUGUGAACCUGUACCCCCAAAAACAACAACACGGGGGUGAGACUAUUGUCCAUAGUCGUCAGUGGGUACAGCCACCCAAGUGAAAAGCUCAACCCACCAGGUCCAAAGGAGGCACUGCAACAUGUUAGUCCAACAGAUAUAUAUAUAUAUAACAUCAUGCAAUACAUGUUCAUGCCUCACAAAUAUGCAAAUUAUGCAACUCUUAGUCAUUCUUUACCAUUAGCCUUUCUUUAGAAUAUGCAAUUCUUUAUCAUUAGCCAUUCUUUAUUCUUUAAUCUUUAUUCUUUAUUCUUUAUUCUUUAUGCUUUAUUCUUUAUGCUUUAUUCUUUGUUCUUUAUCCUUUACUAAGGGCACUCGCGCCUUAGGCUCAUCAUACACAUUUGCCAUUCUUUAUAACAUUAACAAGUCUUUCUCAAUUAUCACUCUUUCCUAAGGUUACAUUUACCUUAGCCAACUAUGCCACUCGACUCGGUCUUGAGUCAAUUCAUAAUGAAUACAAGAUCCACUUUCCAAUUCAUGAUUCCUUUUUGUUCUUUGUUCUUUAAUCUCACGGCUAACCCGGGGGUUUCGCCACAUUAACUUGCUUCACAUUAAGUCCAUCAUCGCAGGAACUCACCAGCUAGGACCGUCCUUACGGGUCUACUCCAACCCGGAUGCCAAACUCCGGAGCGCAUCGCCCGAGGGGGAGCGACCGCCCUCGAGCACGGAACUCAUAGCAAGUAUGAUCAAUCCUUAACUCUAAGGAUAUGUAGUUGGAUCAUGGUUUUACACUAACUCUAGUGUUCUUUACAUCACAUUAGUUGCUAACUCUAGCAAUCAUUAUUCUUUAUACCACAAUUAUCAAUUACUUUAGUAAUUAUCAUUCUUGAUACCACACUUGUUCUUUUAUUGCCACACACUAACUCUAGUGUUCUUUAUGUCACAUUGGUUGCUAACUUUAGCCAUUAUCAUUGUUCUUUACACUUUGCUUGUUCUUUAUGCCACAUUACUUUACAUCGCCUCUAGCCAUUAUCAUUAUUCUUUACAUCACAUUGCUUUGCCUUGUCUCAAGCCAUUAUCAUUAGGUUCUCACAUUACAUCUCAUGCAUACACAUAGAUUAUUUAGAUUCUUAAUCAUUCUAAUAAGCACGUGUACUCACAUCAUGCAACAUUACAUUAUUAUCAUCACAUUGUUUUACAUUAUCUUUAGCCAUUAUCAUUGUUCUUUACAUCACAUUUAUUCUUUGAUGUCCCACACUAACUCUAGUGUCCACUUUACCAUUUCGAAUGCCACUCGAUCUAUGUUCAACAUGCAUAUAUUUUGUCAUCCAUUGGUAGUCAUUACUUAGCAUUUUAUGCAUUCGUUAACAUUUACUACAUGCAUUCUCGGUUAGUACAAAUCUCAUACUUUCAUUUGACAUCUAUUUAGCAUUUCUAUAAUAUGCACAUAUAAAUUAACAUCAACUCAUGCAUUCAUUUGGCAUCUAUCUUUAUCAUGCAUUCUUAAUUAGCAUACUUUAUCAUGCAUUCUCAAAUAGCAUACUUUAAUCUUUAUCAUGCAUUCUUAAAUAGCAUACUUUAUCAUGCGUCAAUAGUAAACAUACUACACUUUAGCAUGGAAAGCGACCUAAUCGCUUCGGUGAGCACAACCCACCUCAUUUCGCAUUCCGAUUGCUUGUCGACACUUGCAAUCGGCCUCCCGCGGCACCCGUAACCCGGUUUGGCCCGAUCUCUCACGCGACCACCCGAACGGCCUCCAAUUCACGAUCCGAAAAUUAAAGGUCUUCGGUUAUGUGCCACGAAGCUUCAAAUCCAUUUUCAUGAAUUUACGAUAUCGCCUCGGCCCUCCCGGCGGACCCGAAGCCUAAACGUCCGUUUCUUUAAUAACUUCGCAACGGCUCGUCGGAUUGCCGAACCGUCUUCGCCAACGCGUUCGUUUACCUAGCAAUUAGGUUUAUAUAGGGUCAAUUUAGAUCAAACCCUUACAUUUUACAAAACCCCAUUCGGAGCCCUAAUAUGCUAUUAACCUCAAAAUAAUCCAAAAUUAAAUGGAUCAACAUGCUAACAAAGCUCAUUAGAGGCUAUUAGAAUACUUAAAGCUAAGGAUUAAGCCAAAUCCUAAAAGCUUACCUCAAUGUGAACGCCGCGACGACAACACACCGCUCCAACGGGCGCACGAAAGCUCAAUCCGUCGCCUCCAACGCGUUCGCAAGCAUAUUCUCCACCAACCCCGCGAAUUUGAGCGAGAGAUAUAGAGAAAUGAGAGAGAUCUCUAGAGAGAGAAAGGAGAGUUUCUCUCCUCUCUCCAUGUGUGCGUGAGGUGUGUGUGGGUGUGCACGGCUGAAGGAGGAAGAAGAAGCAUCAUGCUUCUAUUUAAUUACACCCCAACACUAUUCACCUCCAGGCAGCUUAAAAUCUGAUAACUUUCGCCGGAGCUCCCUGAAUCUCCGUUUGAGCUCAAACUUGACAGUCAUGUUCGGUUUUACUUAACUUAACAAGCUGACGAUCACUGGUUCAGUUUCGACCCCGUUUGGUCACUGAAAACUGUACCGAACUGCAAUCUUUAUCAGAUAGCUUUCGGAUUUUAUUUCUCACUCUAUGGGUGUCAGAAAAAUAUGAAACCUUAAAUCUAGCCUCAUAAAAAUAUUUC